This 758-nucleotide ribosomal RNA is filed under the name uncultured Lachnospiraceae bacterium. RNAcentral's name for it is "bacterial SSU rRNA". It matches the Rfam family "Bacterial small subunit ribosomal RNA", at positions 28 to 784 of the family's 1533-position model. The record is from RNAcentral. Lineage: Bacteria; Bacillati; Bacillota; Clostridia; Lachnospirales; Lachnospiraceae.
GAUGAACGCUGGCGGCGUGCUUAACACAUGCAAGUCGAACGAAGCGCUUUGGAUGGAUUUCUUCGGAUUGAUAUCCUUAGUGACUGAGUGGCGGACGGGUGAGUAACGCGUGGGUAACCUGCCUCAUACAGGGGGAUAACAGUUAGAAAUGGCUGCUAAUACCGCAUAAGACCACAGCACCGCAUGGUGCAGGGGUAAAAACUCCGGUGGUACAGGAUGGACCCGCGUCUGAUUAGCUGGUUGGUGAGGUAACGGCUCACCAAGGCGACGAUCAGUAGCCGGCUUGAGAGAGUGAACGGCCACAUUGGGACUGAGACACGGCCCAAACUCCUACGGGAGGCAGCAGUGGGGAAUAUUGCACAAUGGGGGAAACCCUGAUGCAGCGACGCCGCGUGAGUGAAGAAGUAUCUCGGUAUGUAAAGCUCUAUCAGCAGGGAAGAAAAUGACGGUACCUGACUAAGAAGCCCCGGCUAACUACGUGCCAGCAGCCGCGGUAAAACGUAGGUCACAAGCGUUGUCCGGAAUUACUGGGUGUAAAGGGAGCGCAGGCGGGAAGACAAGUUGGAAGUGAAAUCUAUGGGCUCAACCCAUAAACUGCUUUCAAAACUGUUUUUCUUGAGUAGUGCAGAGGUAGGCGGAAUUCCCGGUGUAGCGGUGGAAUGCGUAGAUAUCGGGAGGAACACCAGUGGCGAAGGCGGCCUACUGGGCACCAACUGACGCUGAGGCUCGAAAGUGUGGGUAGCAAACAGGAUUAGAUA